GCGGAAAGCGCGCGCCAGCUGCACGCAGGGAAACAGUUCUCAUUUUGUGUGCUCGGCUGACUGCACGUCCAGCCUCGGGCCAGCUCGAGACGGCCACAUUGCCUGGUUGAAGAUGGCUGAGCGUAAAACAGAAUGCAAGUCAGCUGGAGCACGUACUACUGGAGGCAGAGCCCCAUGAGAAGGGGCCAAGAACCCGCACCCAUCAAAAUCAAGAAGAAAGGCUGAACCCGGAGAGAAAAGGGAGCAACUGAUGUUGCCAUGCAGAUCCCUUGGUUGCUAUGAGAUGGUAACAUCACUCUGCCCCACCAUUGGCCAGUGCCUCCUCAGCUGCGGUGCCUCCCAGGCUGUGUGGUUCUCACGCGGGCCACUGACACAGAGCUGUUACUAUGGUGAACUUUACAAUUUCCUUUGAUUGGUGGAUUUCAGAAAUAGGCCAUCAGCGGAAUUCAUUAUAUUCAGCUAACCUGGCUCAGCUUCUCAGCUUCUCAGGUGGAUUGGUGAGUCCUGGCCAAUUACGCUUCAGCUCAUCUCUACUCUCAGCAAAUAGGAAAAGGGAGUGAAGGACUGAGUUUUAACUCUUCUAAUUUCGUAACCUGACUCU
Molecule: long non-coding RNA, 601 nt
Filed under: Homo sapiens (human)
Lineage: Eukaryota; Metazoa; Chordata; Mammalia; Primates; Hominidae
Description: non-protein coding lnc-LGALSL-2:4
Source: RNAcentral